AACGAACGCUGGCGUCAUGCCUAACACAUGCAAGUCGAACGAGACCUUCGGGUCUAGUGGCGCACGGGUGCGUAGCGCGUGGGAACCUGCCCUUAGGUUCGGAAUAACUCCCCGAAAGGGGUGCUAAUACCGGAUAAUGUCUUCGGACCAAAGAUUUAUCGCCUUUGGAUGGGCCCGCGUUGGAUUAGCUAGUUGGUAGGGUAAAAGCCUACCAAGGCGACGAUCCAUAGCUGGUCUGAGAGGAUGAUCAGCCACACUGGGACUGAGACACGGCCCAGACUCCUACGGGAGGCAGCAGUGGGGAAUAUUGGACAAUGGGCGAAAGCCUGAUCCAGCAAUGCCGCGUGAGUGAUGAAGGCCUUAGGGUUGUAAAGCUCUUUUACCCGGGAUGAUAAUGACAGUACCGGGAGAAUAAGCUCCGGCUAACUCCGUG
Molecule: ribosomal RNA, 433 nt
Filed under: uncultured bacterium
Lineage: Bacteria
Description: partial 16S ribosomal RNA
Rfam family: Bacterial small subunit ribosomal RNA
Source: RNAcentral